GUAGGUGGGCAAGCGUUGUCCGGAAUUAUUGGGCGUAAAAGCGCGCGCAGGCGGUCCUUUAAGUCUGAUGUGAAAGCCCACGGCUCAACCGUGGAGGGUCAUUGGAAACUGGGGGACUUGAGUACAGAAGAGGAAAGCGGAAUUCCAAGUGUAGCGGUGAAAUGCGUAGAGAUUUGGAGGAACACCAGUGGCGAAGGCGGCUUUCUGGUCUGUAACUGACGCUGAGGCGCGAAAGCGUGGGGAGCAAACAGGAUUAGAUACCCUGGUAGUCCACGCCGUAAACGAUGAGUGCUAAGUGUUAGGGGGUUUCCGCCCCUUAGUGCUGCAGCUAACGCAUUAAGCACUCCGCCGUGGGGAGUACGGCCGCAAAGGCUA
Molecule: ribosomal RNA, 375 nt
Filed under: uncultured organism
Description: partial 16S ribosomal RNA
Rfam family: Bacterial small subunit ribosomal RNA
Source: RNAcentral